CUGUUUUAUCAAAAACAUGUCUUUAUGGAAUUAUAAAAAGUUUAACCUGCCCACUGAAUUUUAAAUGGCCGCAGUAUAUUAACUGUGCAAAGGUAGCAUAAUCAUUAGUCUUUUAAUUGAAGGCUGGUAUGAAUGGUUGGACGAGAUACUAACUGUUUCAUAAAAAUUUAAAUUAAAAUUUUAUAUUUUAGUUAAAAAGCUAAAAUAAAUUUAAAAGACGAGAAGACCCUAUAAAUCUUUAUAUUUACAUUAUUAUAUUUUGAUUGAUAUUUUUUGGUAUAAUAAUUAUUAAUAUUUUAUUGGGGUGAUAUUAAAAUUUAAAUAACUUUUAAUUUAAUAAUUCAUUAAUAUAUGAUUGAUUGAUCUGUUAUUAGCGAUUAAAAAAUUAAGUUACUUUAGGGAUAACAGCGUAAUUUUUUUUGAGAGUUCUUAUUGAAAAAAAAGAUUGCGACCUCGAUGUUGGAUUAAGAUAUGGGUUUAGGUGUAGGUGCUUAAAUUUUAAGUCUGUUCGACUUUUUAAUUCUUACAUGAUCUGAGUUUAAACCGGUGUAAGCCAGGUUGGUUUCUAUCUUUAAUGUUUUAAAAUAUUUCAGUACGAAAGGACCUUAUAUUUAGUAAAUUUUUAUUUUUCAUGUAUGAAUAAUAUUAAUAC
This 652-nucleotide ribosomal RNA is filed under the name Huascaromusca sp. 2 MATM-2015. RNAcentral describes it as "partial large subunit ribosomal RNA". It matches the Rfam family "Bacterial large subunit ribosomal RNA", at positions 1800 to 2751 of the family's 2925-position model. The record is from RNAcentral. Lineage: Eukaryota; Metazoa; Arthropoda; Insecta; Diptera; Calliphoridae.